Non-coding RNA from Dipodomys ordii (Ord's kangaroo rat), 73 nucleotides. The record is from Rfam. Lineage: Eukaryota; Metazoa; Chordata; Mammalia; Rodentia; Heteromyidae.
GGGAAGGUGGCUUAGUGGUAAGAGUGCUUGCCUUGCAUGCAUGAGGCCCUGGGUUCUAUUCCUCAGCACCCCA